Molecule: long non-coding RNA, 490 nt
Organism: Haliotis rubra (blacklip abalone)
Lineage: Eukaryota; Metazoa; Mollusca; Gastropoda; Lepetellida; Haliotidae
Exons: 2
Source: RefSeq, a predicted model, not a curated record
GAAAUAGAUAAUUCUUUAUUGCAACACCUCCACUGCUAUGAACAGGCCUUCAUAAUGUUUAACUGUUGAAAUAUAUUUACAACACACGUGAUGAAUACAAAAUAUAAAUAUAUUUCACUUAAUGGUAUGUAUAUCAUGUACAGCAGUGGUGAUUGUAUAACAGAAUGCUUUCUUAUGCACACGGGUGUGUGUUUGGUGUAAUGCCACACUACACAAAAUUGCAACAUAUGACAACAGCUUGGUACUAAUGGUAUAGGCACCAGACAAGCCACUAAUUGAACUUGACAGUCUAAGUUUCUACAUCAUCUACCAAUUCAUCAAGCUUGACCAACGUUAACCCAGCUCUAUUGUCCAUCAUAGACAGCUUGGGUCCAGUUUUGUAGUGUAUUCCCCACAGGUCUAUCUAAUGCAUACCAUACAACUGUUAACAGCUGAAGUCAAGGUCAAGUCAUGAAGCAACAACUUAAGUCCACAAUGAGAUGAUUGUCAA